UACGUAGGGGGCUAGCGUUGUCCGGAUUUACUGGGUGUAAAGGGCGCGCAGGUGGGUUGGCAAGUCAGAGGUGAAAUCUCCCGGCUUAACUGGGAAACUGCCUUUGAUACUGCUAAUCUUGAGUACGGAAGAGAGAAGCGGAAUUCCAGGUGUAGUGGUGAAAUACGUAGAUAUCUGGAAGAACACCAGUUGCGAAGGCGGCUUCUUGGUCCGUUACUGACGCUCAGGCGCGAAAGCGUGGGUAGCAAACAGG
RNAcentral lists this ribosomal RNA (253 nucleotides) under uncultured bacterium. RNAcentral describes it as "partial 16S ribosomal RNA". It matches the Rfam family "Bacterial small subunit ribosomal RNA", at positions 524 to 776 of the family's 1533-position model. The record is from RNAcentral.